This 468-nucleotide ribosomal RNA is filed under the name uncultured bacterium. RNAcentral's name for it is "partial 16S ribosomal RNA". It matches the Rfam family "Bacterial small subunit ribosomal RNA", at positions 28 to 507 of the family's 1533-position model. The record is from RNAcentral.
GACGAACGCUGGCGGCGUGCUUAACACAUGCAAGUCGAACGGAAAGGCCCUGCUUUUGUGGGGUGCUCGAGUGGCGAACGGGUGAGUAACACGUGAGUAACCUGCCCUUGACUUUGGGAUAACUUCAGGAAACUGGGGCUAAUACCGGAUAGGAGCUCCUGCUGCAUGGUGGGGGUUGGAAAGUUUCGGCGGUUGGGGAUGGACUCGCGGCUUAUCAGCUUGUUGGUGGGGUAGUGGCUUACCAAGGCUUUGACGGGUAGCCGGCCUGAGAGGGUGACCGGCCACAUUGGGACUGAGAUACGGCCCAGACUCCUACGGGAGGCAGCAGUGUGGAAUAUUGCACAAUGGGCGGAAGCCUGAUGCAGCAACGCCGCGUGCGGGAUGACGGCCUUCGGGUUGUAAACCGCUUUCGCCUGUGACGAAUCGUGAGUGACUGUAAUGAGUAAAGAAGCACCGGCUAACUACGUG